AAGAUCACUGUGUACUUGUCCAGUCGAGGAAGAGUGAGAUCAUCUAAUCUUUGUGCUUAUUAUGUAUUUGCAAAAUUUAAACCCCGCACCCUAACAUUUGUCCUAAUCAAUGAAAUGAUAUGCUGUUUUUGUAGCAUGGAAUUGCAGACUUGUAAGUGUAAUUCGUGAAAUAUAAGCAACGAUGAAUUGAAACAUUUGUAAUUUCCAUAUAAAUCUCCAAUUUUCUGCUAUUGAAACAACACAAGGCUUCGUAUUAGAUUUUUUGAAUGAAAAACAAUGUAUUAAACUCCAUAAGGAGAAGAACAAAACAUUCCAUUAAAGGAGGAAUUACACUCCAUGAUAGGAGGAACAAACAACUCCAAAAUAGGAGGAUGAUGACACUCCAUAAUAAGAGGAAGAGAAAGACACUCCACAAAGUAGGAAAGACACUCCAUAUAGGAGGAAGAAACCUCCUUGGAAGGUGGGAUUGGAGACUACAAUUAAAUGAAUUAAAAUGUGUACAAACUCUAGUAUUUAUAGAGAAAAUAAUUAGCUAACUAGGAAGUCUGUAGAAUCUAGAAAUUCUGGAAUAAGAAGUAAUCUGUCGGACAUGGACUUGGUUGGGCUGGAAGUGAAUAUCCUGUUAAGCUGGAAUAUUCUGCUGAUGUGGAUUUUAUAUUCCAACCCCCCCUCAAGAUGGACUUGAAGAUCCAUCUUGAAGAUUAAGUAGUGAAAACAAGUUUUGACAGAAUAAUGGCUUCUGAAAUGGAAACGUCUUCUGAUGGCUCAGAAGCUUGUGGUGGCUUUGCACAUUCCUUCAUUAGAUUUCAUAGAUGAUCGAAGUGGACAAUGAAGUGGUUUUGAAGAUGAUUUUCCAAUUUUCUACAGUGAAUUUGCAUCUCAAACCAGCAUAUCUAAUUAGAAGCUCCAAUCAAUAUUCUAGAUUGUCAAUGUGGAAGGAUCAACAGAAUGUUCACCAAUUUCCAACCAGCAAAGGGACAAUUCCAACAAAUGAGAUCAGAAACUUUAAUGACAAGCAUGUAACCUGCUAAAAUGAGUGACGAAGUUAGGGUUUCAAGAUCCUCUAAAGUCUCCACUAUUGACGUAUCAAAUUUGCAGAUAUUUCAACAAUAUCAAUACUUCUGGAAGGAGUUUGGAAAGAUUGGGAAAGGAAACCGUUGAUGUUCAAGAUCUGAAGAGAACCAAAUUUGAAAGAAUCUCACUGUAUUUGCAUCUAAAUCCAGUCAAAGCUUCCAGCUUCAACGGUACAAUCUCCACCGAAUCCGAAUCCUCUUUCUUCAAAUCCUUACAGAUCUGAAUCUGAUUGAAUUUAUUCUCCAGCAAAGACUUUGAGAACGAGCUUGAUCUAAAUAAUAUCUCAGAUCCGGCCGCCGUCAUGACCACAAAUCAUUUUGAUGAUAACUCCAGAUCCGUUCUUCAAGCAGUAGCUGAAACCAAUCGGACCUUAUUUAUGAUUAAAGGAACUGAAAAUCUACUGGCUACUGAAAAUGAAAAUUUCCAGAAUUUUGCCGAAAUGAAAGAAAUACAGCAAAAUUAAUACUGCAGCAGGAAGCCUAUGCUCUGAUACCAUAUUAGAUUUAUUGAAUGAAAAACAAUGUAUUAAACUCCAUAAGGAGAAGAACAAAACACUCCAUUAAAGGAGGAAUUACACUCCAUGAUAGGAGGAACAAACAACUCCAAAAUAGGAAGAUGAUAACACUCCAUAAUAAGAGGAAGAGAAAGACACUCCACAAAGGAGGAAAGACACUCCAUAUAGGAGGAAGAAACCUCCAUGGAAGGAGGGAUUGGAGACUACAAUCCAAUGAAUUAAAAUGUGUACAAACUCUAGUAUUUAUAGAGAAAAUAACUAGCUAACUAGGAAGUCUCUAGAAUUUGGAAAUUCUGGAAUAAGAAGUAAUCUGCUGGACAUGGACUUGGUUGAGCUGGAAGUGAAUAUCCCGUUAAGCUGGAAUAUUCUGCUGAUGUGGAUUUUAUAUUCCAACACUUCGUUUGAUCUUGAAUCUCAUAGAGGAAAGCCUUAAUUGUGUUUUUAUCUACUGAAAUUUUUGACCUAAAAUAUGUCCCACAAAUGAGAUAGAUGGGGAGAUUUCUUCUGCACGUGUUAUUCGCUGACAAUAUGCACGUCAGUCUUUAAGUCCAAUGUGUUUUAAAGUUUGCAGGUUCAACUUUUAUUUGGGUAGGUCGAAAAAGAAAAGGCAUGGUUUUUUGUUUUUUCCUUUUCCCUAUUCUUGAUCUGGAUCCAAAUGGAGCUCAAAGUAAAAAAUCUUAGGAUUGAUUUUGUUUUUGAAUAUCCUGACAACAACUCAAACCUCCCUUUCGUAGAUAAUUUAUAAUUAUCUAGUGGUGCUUUCUUAGUUAUACAAAGCUAACCCUCCC
This 2376-nucleotide long non-coding RNA is filed under the name Olea europaea subsp. europaea. The record is from RNAcentral. Lineage: Eukaryota; Viridiplantae; Streptophyta; Magnoliopsida; Lamiales; Oleaceae.